Molecule: ribosomal RNA, 254 nt
Filed under: uncultured bacterium
Lineage: Bacteria
Description: partial 16S ribosomal RNA
Rfam family: Bacterial small subunit ribosomal RNA
Source: RNAcentral
UACGGGGGGAGCAAGCGUUGUUCGGAUUUACUGGGCGUAAAGGGCGCGUAGGCGGCCACCGCAAGUCGACUGUGAAAUCUCCGGGCUUAACCCGGAAAGGUCAGCCGAUACUGCGGGGCUAGAGUGCAGAAGGGGCAACUGGAAUUCUCGGUGUAGCGGUGAAAUGCGUAGAUAUCGAGAGGAACACCUGCGGCGAAGGCGGGUUGCUGGGCUGACACUGACGCUGAUGCGCGAAAUCUAGGGGAGCGAACGGG